Molecule: ribosomal RNA, 442 nt
Filed under: uncultured bacterium
Lineage: Bacteria
Description: partial 16S ribosomal RNA
Rfam family: Bacterial small subunit ribosomal RNA
Source: RNAcentral
CCUACGGGAGGCAGCAGUGGGGAAUAUUGGGCAAUGGGCGCAAGCCUGACCCAGCAACGCCGCGUGAAGGAAGAAGGCUUUCGGGUUGUAAACUUCCUUUAAGCGGGAAGCGCAGAAGACGGUACCUCUUGAAUAAGCCACGGCUAACUACGUGCCAGCAGCCGCGGGAAUACGUAGGUGGCCAGCGUUGUCCGGAUUUACUGGGUGUAAAGGGCGUGCAGCCGGGAAGACAAGUCAGAUGUGAAAUCCCGCGGCUCAACCGCGGAACUGCAUUUGAAACUGUUUUUCUUGAGUACCGGAGAGGUAAUCGGAAUUCCGGGUGUAGCGGUGAAAUGCGUAGAUAUAAGGAAGAACACCAGUGGCGAAGGCGGAUGACUGGACGGCAACUGACGGUGAGGUGCGAAAGCGUGGGGAGCGAACAGGAUUAGAUACCCGAGUAGUC